This is a long non-coding RNA of Hippoglossus stenolepis (Pacific halibut), 328 nucleotides long. RefSeq lists it as uncharacterized. The transcript has 3 exons. Lineage: Eukaryota; Metazoa; Chordata; Actinopteri; Pleuronectiformes; Pleuronectidae. The record is from RefSeq and is a predicted model, not a curated record.
UUCUCAUAGCUGUGAGGAACUCUGCAGAGGCAAGCCACGUCUCCAUGUCUCUCACUCUUGUCUCCUGUCUUUCAGAAUGCAGGCUGUGCGGUUGAAAUACAGAGAUCAUCAGGAGUACAUCUGUUAUGAGGCACAACUGACCUUUAAAUCCUUUUUGGAUUGUGUUGCCAGGAAAUUUGACCUUCCAACCUUGGACUUAAAGGUUUAUGAUGAAUCAAACACUGAAGUUGACGAGGAGGUGUUUGAGUUUCUUUUAAAGAAACAAGACAUCGGUGUCCUGGAGUGGUGAGUCGCUUAUUACUGGCUAUCCCAACAUGUUCUGAAUAUG